RNAcentral lists this ribosomal RNA (327 nucleotides) under uncultured bacterium. Its description in RNAcentral is "bacterial SSU rRNA". It matches the Rfam family "Bacterial small subunit ribosomal RNA", at positions 28 to 334 of the family's 1533-position model. The record is from RNAcentral.
GACGAACGCUGGCGGCGUGCUUAACACAUGCAAGUCGAACGAGAAGGGAUGAGAAGCUUGCUUCUUAUCAAUUCGAGUGGCAAACGGGUGAGUAACGCGUAAGCAACCUGCCCUUCAGAUGGGGACAACAGCUGGAAACGGCUGCUAAUACCGAAUACGUUCUUUUGUCGCAUGGCAGAGAGAAGAAAGGGAGGCUCUUCGGAGCUUUCGCUGAAGGAGGGGCUUGCGUCUGAUUAGCUAGUUGGAGGGGUAACGGCCCACCAAGGCGACGAUCAGUAGCCGGUCUGAGAGGAUGAACGGCCACAUUGGGACUGAGACACGGCCCAG